AGAGAUAGCUCAAGGCUUCUGGAUGGAGGCUGGUAGCCCCGAGGUGGGGUGCCUGCAAAAGGGCUGCCUUGCUCACCUUCCUCCUCCAGCAUCUGGGCAGGUCUAACCUAAGCUGUCCCGGGCCAUUACCUCCCCCUGCAUCAGACCUGCAUCCCACAGGGGCAGCGUUUGAUGAUGAAAAACCACCAAAUCCUUUUUUCCUUGCAAGUAUGUCAUGUUGGGGAGCUCGGAGAUGUGGUGGGAAAACAGGACAGAGUUGUGUCUAAUAGGUAUUUGGCACUGCGAAGCAACUGCAAGCUGGAGGCACGGCACCUCUUUUCCUGCUCAGCUGUGGCUGUUGUGAGGCACGAAGAUGGACCAUCAAGCAGAAGCAAGCAUUUGGGCACGUCGAAUCACAGAAUUAUAGAAUGGUUUGAGUUGGAAAGUACCUUAAAGCCCAUCCAAGUCCCAACCUCUGCCAUGUAUAGGGCUGCCCCCCCCAGGUCAGGCUGCACGGGGCUCCAUCCAGCCUUGCCCUGAGCAGCUGCAGGGAUGGGGCUCCGCAGUUCUGGGCAGCAGUGCCAACACCUCACUGUCCUCUGAGUGAAGAAUUUCCUCCUUCAGUUGUGUUAACUAGGUUGAGGCUUUCAUUGAUCAGCAUUGCCUGCUGCUGGGCUGGUCCUUGGUUCUUGGUAGAUUCCUUCAUCUGCCAUUUCUAGGUGUCAGCAUCAGUGACUGCUGUAGAUUUGCAAGCACCUAAGUUCAACCCUUGCAGCACUAAGCCAGGCUUGGAGAUAGAGGAGCACAAGCGAAAUGUAUCCUUCCCCAGACCUGUGGCUUGGGUAAAAAGGAGUUCUGCUCCAGCAAAAGUGCUAGAAAGAGAACAGUCCUACCCAAUUCCAGUUUAAAAAGAGCAGAUCUCCACACACAGCCAUGGAGGAACCCCAGCAGCAGCAGUGGCUGUUGCCAGGAAGAGGCAGCAGCCAUGGAGAAGCCCUGCAGGUCCCAGGCAGGAGCUACCACCUGUGCCAAGCCUGGUUUGCUACUGAUGACAACUGUUCUUACUCUUUUUUUCACCAUGUUUUCUACUCUUGUCCUUCAGAGGAGGGAUGAUGAGAGAGCAGCAUGGCAGAGCCGAGAUGCCCGUGGGUAUGAAACCACUGCAGCCAGCAUGGUUUUCUGCCCAGACCUUCCAUCUCCAUUACAGCGAUGGGGUACCGCACUGUAGGGCAGUCAGGCUCUUCCUUACUGCUGCCACUCUGUGCCUCCCCCAACUCCCAGCCCCAACCACUACAGUGCUGCCUUCGCUGCCCAAGAGUAAGGCACAGCCCUGUGUGUUAAAAGCUACGAUCAAAGCUGUUCAGUGCUCUGUGCUUUCCUGUUUGUCCCAGCAAGAGAGCUGCUCUGACCAGAUAGGAAUGGGGAACGUGCUCUCAGCGAGGUGAGAGCCCUUUGAACUGGCAUAAAAAGUGCAUCGUUGUUUCUGCAGCCCUCCCUCCUCCAAACCCAGGAAGAAAUAACUCUGACAAAAGCACUGCUGCUGGUUGCACAGAAGCAUUCGGAGCAUGGCUGCCUUAUGCUUAUGGUUUUUCAGGCUGUGUUUCUGUGCCAUUUGAAGCCCUGGAGGAGGGACAGCAGCCCCGCACAGCUCCAUGUGCUUACAGCCAGCCUGUCUGUCCUUCUGUUCCCUGCAUUACCCUCUGAGCUCCUGAGGGUGCUGUGGACAAAAACACCCCUUUCUGCUGAGAAUAGUUCUGGAUCCAAGUUAUUCUGCUUCCAGACUUUUCAUUACCGAUUUGUAUUUGGCCAGCCAGCACCAAAUCCAGCCCCGCAGCAUCUCUGCUGACCCUGGGGGUGAGUUUGUCCCGAGAUGUUUCUAUCACAAAGCCAUCAAAACCAAUUUCCUCCGAUCUGACUGACUUGAAAUCCCAGUAGAGGCAAUUCAUCUACUGCUGGAUGUGCGAUAUUACAGCAAAUAAACAUCAGAGACAGGAAUGCCUUGCUGGAGAU
This is a long non-coding RNA of Phasianus colchicus (ring-necked pheasant), 1989 nucleotides long. NCBI's taxonomy places the organism in Eukaryota, Metazoa, Chordata, Aves, Galliformes, Phasianidae. The record is from Ensembl.